Molecule: non-coding RNA, 2018 nt
Organism: Macaca mulatta (Rhesus monkey)
Lineage: Eukaryota; Metazoa; Chordata; Mammalia; Primates; Cercopithecidae
Source: RefSeq, a predicted model, not a curated record
GUAACAAACCUGCACAUUCUGCACAUGUAUCCCAGAACUUAAAACAAACAAACAAACAAAAAACAAAGAACUGUCACAAGCAAAAGUAUAUCACAAGCGAAAAUAUGUUUUUCUUGAAGACCAACAAGUUCAAAUAGAUCUCUUUGAAUUCUUUCUGAAGUGAACUUUUAAAAAGGGAAGGUUUAGGAAUGGAAGAGAAAAAAGAAAAGGAGACACCACUUUCUCAAUUAGGAGGAACCCUAAGGCCAUCUACUACUUACCCAUAAAGAAAGCAAGGUUUAUAGAAAAAAAACUGAGUGAGGAAAAGCCAGGUGCAAUACCACAUGCAUUCAAGGAACUUUAAAGAGUGCUUCUCAAAGAAAAGGGUCAGAGUGUGCCUUUGGGGCAGGUAGGAGGAUGAAAGAAUUUCAUCCCAGUCACUGCAGGCUGUGGCAUAAACUGAAAAAGGUUGAGAAAGUACUGCUUUAACCUUUUCACUAGUGACAUAAAAAACUCCAGCCCCCAGCAUUGUUGCUUACUUCUGUUAUCAGUAGGUAUCCUCUUUUGGAGGCAAAGUGAGGCAAGAAACACCUUGAGUUCCCUCAAGUGUACAGCCAGUAGCUUUUAUUUUGUCCUCCUGUUAACCCACAUGAAUUUAAUACUCCAACCAUGGGAUGUUGCUGUUUCAUUCAAAUGAGAUCAGAGUAUUAGAAAUACCCUAACUGGGCCAGGCACAGUGGCUCAUGCCUGUAAUCCCCAGCACUUUGAGGGGCCAAGACAGGUAGAUUGCCUGAUCUCACGGGUUCAAGACCAAACUGGGCAAAGUGGGGAAACUCUGUCACUAGAAAAUAUAUAAGAAUUAGCCAGACAUGGUGGUGCACACCUAUAAUCUCAGCUACUUAGGGGGCUGAGGUGUGAGGAUCACUUGAGCCCAGGAGGUGGAAGUUGCAGUCAUCCAUUCAGUUCACACCAUUCAGUUCACACCAUUGAAGUCCAGCCUGGGCGACAAAGCGAGACCCUGUCUCAAAGAAAAAAAAAAAAAUUUCCUAACUGUUUAUAAUCCUUACCACAGCUCCUUUGCAUCAUCCAGAGAUGGGCCAUAUAGCCCACUCAAGGCCUGGUGUUUCCCCUAGACACAUCAGAAAUAGGAUAGGACAAUAUUUUAACUGAAAUGACAUAUGACAACUCAAAACUAUGUAUGUGGCCAACUGGGAGCUAGCCUCUUAGAAUGAUCCAAAAACUGUUUAAUUUGGUUAGCACUUUUGAUAAUUAAAUACUGAAUGUGAAUGCCCUGAGGCAAUAGACAUGCUUACUCUGAUUUGCAAAAGCCAAAUACCUCUUCUAGAUUCUACGUUUCGCUACUUUAUUUUCCUGUCUCUGAACUCCCCAAUACACCUUGUAAUGUUUACUUUUAGGUGUCAACUUGACUGGAUUACUGAAUACAUAGAAACCUGGUAAAGCAUGAUUUUGGGGUGUGUCUGUGAGGGUGUUUACAGAAGAGAUUAGCAUGUGAGUGUGAGUGGACUAGGUGAGGAAGACCCUCCCUCAACGUGGGCAGGCACCAUCCAAUUUGCCAGGGCUGGAGAACAAAAACAGAGGAAAGACAAAUAUGUCCAUCUAUUUCCUAGAGCUGGGCUUCAUUCUUCCUCUCCUAUCCUUGGAUAUCAGAACUCCAGGACCUCUCCUAUCCUUGGAUAUCAGAACUCCAGGCUCCGGCCUUUGGACUCCAGGACUUAACACCAGCAGCUCCCAGAUUCUCAGGCAUUCAGCCUCCAACUGAGAGUUACACCAUUGGCUUUCCUGAUUUUGAUGCCUUCAGACUUGGUUUAAGCCAUGCUACCAGCAUCCCAGAGCCUCCAGUUUGCAGAUGGCCCGUUGGGAGACUUCCCACCCUCCAUAAUUAUUUGAAUGGCUCUGUUUUCCAUCAAUGAUGACAGCUUUUAAUCAUAGAUCUCAAGCCCAUUACGAACAUUAAUUAAUGUCUGACAUCGCUUAAUGAGAUGGAGCCUUGCCCUGUUGCCCAGGCUGGAGUGCCAUGG